RNAcentral lists this unclassified non-coding RNA (418 nucleotides) under Isocarpha oppositifolia. Its description in RNAcentral is "partial contains external transcribed spacer and 18S ribosomal RNA". Lineage: Eukaryota; Viridiplantae; Streptophyta; Magnoliopsida; Asterales; Asteraceae. The record is from RNAcentral.
UCGGUUUGUUAAUGGUGGUCGGCUCUAUUGCUUGUGCAACAACUUCCACCUGGCAUGCCCUAUUCAUUUGUCCGUUCAGGCUUCAUUUGCUUGAAUGAAUUGUUGGUUUCCUGUGUUGCCUACCAAACAUACGGUAUUGAUUUGGCUUAUCUAAGUCUAGUUCGUCUAUCGUCAUGCUUAUGACAUUUAGAUGAACCCUAAACCUAUCUCUUUGAACCACAUCGUCAAUGCUUUUGUGUUGAUGUAGUGGCGCAUGGAGCCUGGUUGGUCUCUUCGAUGUAGUACCUGUUGUGGGCAUGGGUCUCAUGGAUCCUUGUUAUGUCCCUUGUUUAGUGCGUACGCUCUUUGAAAUGACUGCUCGACACGUUUUGGCUCGUAACAGCGUGUUGGGUUUUGUCUAAGAGGAAAGUUACCUGGU